GGGGAUUUAGCUCAGUGGUAGAGCGCUUGCCUAGCAAGCAUAAGGCCCUGGGUUCAGUCCCCAGUUCCA
Molecule: transfer RNA, 69 nt
Filed under: Rattus norvegicus (Norway rat)
Lineage: Eukaryota; Metazoa; Chordata; Mammalia; Rodentia; Muridae
Rfam family: tRNA
About the family: Transfer RNA (tRNA) molecules are approximately 80 nucleotides in length. Their secondary structure includes four short double-helical elements and three loops (D, anti-codon, and T loops). Further hydrogen bonds mediate the characteristic L-shaped molecular structure. tRNAs have two regions of fundamental functional importance: the anti-codon, which is responsible for specific mRNA codon recognition, and the 3' end, to which the tRNAs corresponding amino acid is attached (by aminoacyl-tRNA synthetases). tRNAs cope with the degeneracy of the genetic code in two manners: having more than one tRNA (with a specific anti-codon) for a particular amino acid; and 'wobble' base-pairing, i.e. permitting non-standard base-pairing at the 3rd anti-codon position.
Source: Rfam by way of RNAcentral